UAACAUUAAGUUACAAUAUAAACGGGCCUGACUCAGUUUAAAAACUGGUUUCCAGCUGGUUCCUGUUCUGCAGAAACAUACAACAUUAAACACAACUUACAGUACAUAAGGACAGAAACAUUUUUACAGGACAUCUGCAUGGACUAGACAGAUACGGACAGCUAAAACAACAAUACAGACACUUGGACAAUACAUGAACAAUCAAUGUGUGCAAGUGUAACUGUUGAGAAGAAAUAGUUUGUGUGCCUUUUUGAAAUAUGUGAUGGAUGGUAGUGCUCUAAUGUCAUGGGGAAUGUCAUUCCAA
Sander lucioperca (pikeperch) is the source of this 304-nucleotide long non-coding RNA. RefSeq lists it as uncharacterized. Lineage: Eukaryota; Metazoa; Chordata; Actinopteri; Perciformes; Percidae. The record is from RefSeq and is a predicted model, not a curated record. The transcript has 3 exons.